UAGUGGAGCGAUUUGUCUGGUUAAUUCCGAUAACGAACGAGACUCUGGCCUAUUAAAUAGUUCGCCGAUUCCGAUCUGUCGGCGUUAACUUCUUAGAGGGACAAGUGGCUUUUAGCCACGCGAGAUUGAGCAAUAACA
RNAcentral lists this ribosomal RNA (138 nucleotides) under uncultured eukaryote. RNAcentral describes it as "partial 18S ribosomal RNA". It matches the Rfam family "Eukaryotic small subunit ribosomal RNA", at positions 1299 to 1458 of the family's 1831-position model. The record is from RNAcentral.